This 536-nucleotide ribosomal RNA is filed under the name Shewanella algae. Its description in RNAcentral is "partial 23S ribosomal RNA". It matches the Rfam family "Bacterial large subunit ribosomal RNA", at positions 454 to 722 of the family's 2925-position model. Lineage: Bacteria; Pseudomonadati; Pseudomonadota; Gammaproteobacteria; Alteromonadales; Shewanellaceae. The record is from RNAcentral.
CAUCCUCCAAGGCUAAAUACUCCUGACUGACCGAUAGUGAACCAGUACCGUGAGGGAAAGGCGAAAAGAACCCCUGUGAGGGGAGUGAAAUAGAACCUGAAACCGUAUACGUACAAGCAGUGGAAGCCCCAUCACCAGAUUGCUUUUUGCAGUAGCAGUCAAUUAGGCGAUUGCCUAGAUUAUUCAUGGAAAGACUAAAAGGAACUUUAUAUGAAACGACUACUGUUAAUUCUGUGUGUGGCAAUAGGUUCUGUAUCCUCAGUUAGUGCAAAUCCUGGAUUUUGUGAAGAUGGAUACUAUGACCCUGAAAAUCCGUUUUUUUGUCCAAAAAAAGACUGAUAUUUAACACCGUAGUAGUGGACUAUUUAAUUUAAAGAAUUGGUUCACGGUGAGAGUAAUUUGGGAUGGGGUGACUGCGUACCUUUUGUAUAAUGGGUCAGCGACUUACAUUUAGUAGCGAGGUUAAGCGAAUAGCGGAGCCGUAGGGAAACCGAGUGUUAACUGCGCGUUUAGUUGCUAGGUGUAGACCCGAAACC